RNAcentral lists this long non-coding RNA (2300 nucleotides) under Rattus norvegicus (Norway rat). RNAcentral's name for it is "long non-coding RNA NONRATT022145". The record is from RNAcentral. Lineage: Eukaryota; Metazoa; Chordata; Mammalia; Rodentia; Muridae.
AAUGAAUUUGAUGAUAUACAUGAAUUGUGUUGGAGCAAAUCAAGUUUCAACGUAGAGGAAAUGGGUUUAUCUUACAACAGUAGUGUUGUGUUCAUAGUUUGCUAUUUGCAUGCUAUUAAGACUAAAGCUUGAGUUUGCCUUUUCCACAUCUUCAUGUUAAUUUGUGUGAGGAACAAGAGAAAUGGGUAGAAUAAAAUGCCCAUGUAAUUUUGGUAUUAUACUUUUGAGAUCACUUCGGGGUGGUGAGUAAUUCACAUCAUUUUUAUACCAGUGAGAAUUAUAUUAUUCUAAGUUACUAGAGAAAAUUUGUGUAGCAUCCUUCCUGAAUUUAGGAAACUUUGAACAAUAAAAUAAUUAACUUGAGGAAUAUUUUCAGAAUCAUCCUCAAUUUAUUACAGUAAUUGGAUUGGCUUAACUGUAGUAACACUUGCCAUGUUAGAUGCUUUUGUUGGUUAGCAUGGACAGUAAAAGCCAUUAUUAUGAUUCCUUGGUGGUGAGAAAUAUAUGAAGUAGUCCAAGGAGUAAGAUAUUAAUAUCGCCAUUGUCUGAGGAUUCUGAAAACUUAAACUUUAAGGUUAUGUCUCUCCCCACCCUGAAUAAGCACAUUCUACCAGGAAAAGGCAAUGAAAAACAAAAUUUCUUCUCGGUCUUAAAAAGUUUUUAGUGACUCGUGUAAUGUUUGCAUAUGAUGGAUUGAGUUUUAUGCACACAGGUGGACUGGGUGGUUAUGGAUCAGGAGACAGUGAAGAUGAGAGGAGUGACAGAGGUUCUGAGUCAUCUGAUACUGAUGAUGAAGAAUUACGGCACCGAAUCCGGCAAAAACAAGAAGCUUUUUGGAGAAAAGAGAAAGAGCAGCAGCUAUUACAAGAUAAACAGAUGGAAGAAGAAAAGCAACAAACAGAAAGGGUUACAAAAGAGAUGAAUGAAUUUAUUCACAGAGAGCAAAAUAGUUUAUCACUUCUAGAAGCAAGUGAAGCAGACGGUGAUACGGUUAAUGAAAAGAAAAGAACUCCAAAUGAAGCUCCGUCAGUUUUAGAGCCCAAAAGAGAGCACAAAGGGAAAGAGAAGGAGCGGAGGAGUAGGUCAGGCAGCAGCAGUAGCGGCAGCUCCAGUAGCAACAGCAGGAGCAGCAGCAGUAGCAGCUCCGUGUCCAGUUCUUCCUACAGCUCCAGCUCAGGCAGCAGCUGCACGUCCUCUCGCUCCUCCUCUCCUAAAAGGAAAAAGAGACACAGUAGGAGCAGGUCUCCCACAGUGAAAGCUAGACGGAGCAGGAGCAGGAGCUACUCUCGCAGAAUUAAAAUAGACAGCAGCAGGACUAGGGUGAAGCUGAGAGAUAGGAGGAGAUCUAAUAGAAGUAGCAUUGAAAGAGAAAGACGAAGAAACCGGAGCCCUUCCCGAGACAGACGUAGAAGCAGAAGUCGCUCAAGGGAUAGACGAACCAAUCGUUCCAGUCGCAGUAGAAGUCGAGAUAGGCGUAAAAUUGAGGAUCCACGUGGAAAUCUUAGUGGGAACAGUCAUAAGCAUAAAGGUGAGGCUAAAGAACAAGACAGGAAAAAGGAGAGGAGUCGAAGUGUAGAUAAGGACAGGAGAAAGAAAGACAAGGAAAGGGACCGUGAACAGGAUAAAAGAAAAGAAAAACAGAAAAGGGAAGAAAAAGAUUUUAAAUUCAGUAGUCAGGAUGAUCGGUUAAAACGGAAGCGAGAAAGUGAGAGAACUUUCUGUAGGAGUGGUUCUAUAUCUGUUAAAGUCAUAAGACACGACUCUAGACAGGAUAGUAAGAAAAAUGCAACCAAAGAUAGUAAAAAGCAUUCAGGUUCUGAUUCUAGUGGAAGGAGCAGUUCUGAAUCCCCCGGAAGUAGCAAAGAAAAGAAGGCUAAGAAGCCUAAACAUAGUCGGUCGCGCUCCAUGGAGAAAUCUCAAAGGUCUGGUAAGAAGGCAAGCCGCAAACACAAGUCUAAGUCCCGAUCAAGGUACCCCGUCGUAAGCGCUGAGGAAUGACGUGGCAAGAAUGCCAUGAUGCCAUUUUUAAAAAUUCCAUGAGUUUAAGGGCUUGUCUCAUUAUAGAGGCACAUUGUGGCUGUGUAGGUGAACCCAGAUUUUUUUUUUCUAAUUGUGUAAAUAGGUGUCUUUUUCCAAAUGCUGCUCCAAGUUACUUAAUAGGAUUUCUUUGUAUUACAUUUUUUUCAAGAAAUAGUACUUAAUAAGACUAUAAAUAUGCCAUUCUCUUUCAGCUGUAAUGUUCUCAAAAUUAUUCUUGAAUGUACUGUGAUGUCAAUAAAGCUCUUUAGUUCAUUUUUGUU